This 96-nucleotide transfer RNA is filed under the name Oscillospiraceae bacterium. RNAcentral describes it as "tRNA-Ser". Lineage: Bacteria; Bacillati; Bacillota; Clostridia; Eubacteriales; Oscillospiraceae. The record is from RNAcentral.
GCGGGCGCGGGGGAGCGUACGUACCCGUUCCGGUUUUGAAAUCCGGCGCGGGCCCGGGAGCAUGGGCGUCGGGGUUCGAGUCCCCGAUCACCCGCG